Molecule: long non-coding RNA, 271 nt
Filed under: Capsella rubella
Lineage: Eukaryota; Viridiplantae; Streptophyta; Magnoliopsida; Brassicales; Brassicaceae
Description: long non-coding RNA (CRUB_LNC004274)
Source: RNAcentral
AAAUUAGAGUUUAUUUUAAGGGAAAUAUGAGAUAACAAACUAACAUUAGUAUUUUUAUUUUAAAAAUAAAGAUAAAAAUAUACAUAUAGAUGUGUGUGUGCAUAUAUAGAUAUUUUUCUUUUUUUUUGUUCAAAACUUGAUUUUUUUUCUUCUCAACUACAUCUGACUUUAUUAACUUUAUAAUGAUGUUAGUAAGUACACAAAACAAAAUAAAAAAUAAAGAUUUUUAAAAAAUAAAAAUUAAAAAAUAGAAAAUAUAACAAAAAGCCCG